UAGAGGAAGUAAAAGUCGUAACAAGGUUUCCGUAGGUGAACCUGCGGAAGGAUCAUUAAUGAAUUUUGAAAGGGGUUGUAGCUGGCCUUUUAGGAGGCAUGUGCACACCCUGCUCUUCCAUUCUUACACCUGUGCACACUCUGUAGGUCGGUUUGAGCGGUUCUCUCUAACGGGGGAUGCUGUUUGGCCUUCCUAUGUUUUAUAACAAACUCUGUAAUGUCAUAGAAUGUCAUCGCGUAUAACGCAUUAUAAUAUAACUUUCAGCAACGGAUCUCUUGGCUCUCGCAUCGAUGAAGAACGCAGCGAAAUGCGAUAAGUAAUGUGAAUUGCAGAAUUCAGUGAAUCAUCGAAUCUUUGAACGCACCUUGCGCUCCUUGGUAUUCCGAGGAGCAUGCCUGUUUGAGUGUCAUGGAAUUCUCAACCCUCUUAUCCUUGUGGUGAGAUUGGGUUGGAUUUGGAGGUUUAUGCUGGCUUGUAAUGAGUCGGCUCCUCUUGAAUGCAUUAGCUUGGACCUUUGCGGACCAGCUUUUCGGUGUGAUAAUUGUCUACGCCGUGGGCUGUGAUGCUGUUUAACAUGCUUCGGUGUGUUGGGGUUCUGCUUCUAAUGGUCCCUUUGGUGGGACAACUUACUUUGACCUCUGACCUCAAAUCAGGUAGGAUUACCCGCUGAACUUAAGCAUAUCAAUAAG
Molecule: ribosomal RNA, 689 nt
Filed under: Rhodonia placenta
Lineage: Eukaryota; Fungi; Basidiomycota; Agaricomycetes; Polyporales; Adustoporiaceae
Description: eukaryotic LSU rRNA
Rfam family: 5.8S ribosomal RNA (bases 256-409)
Source: RNAcentral